RNAcentral lists this ribosomal RNA (252 nucleotides) under uncultured bacterium. RNAcentral describes it as "partial 16S ribosomal RNA". It matches the Rfam family "Bacterial small subunit ribosomal RNA", at positions 524 to 776 of the family's 1533-position model. The record is from RNAcentral.
UACGUAGGGGGCGAGCGUUGUCCGGAUUUAUUGGGCGUAAAGAGCGUGUAGGCGGCUUGGUAGGUCUCGCGUCAAAGCCUGAGGCUCAACCUCAGUUCGCGUGGGAAACCACCUAGCUAGAGUCCGGAAGAGGAGAACGGAAUUCCCAGUGUAGCGGUGAAAUGCGCAGAUAUUGGGAAGAACACCAGUGGCGAAGGCGGUUCUCUGGGACGGUACUGACGCUGAGACGCGAAAGCGUGGGGAGCGAACAGG